This 309-nucleotide long non-coding RNA is filed under the name Elaeis guineensis (African oil palm). Its description in RNAcentral is "long non-coding RNA (EGUI_LNC024816)". Lineage: Eukaryota; Viridiplantae; Streptophyta; Magnoliopsida; Arecales; Arecaceae. The record is from RNAcentral.
UAUGUAGUAGCAGUCCAUAACCUUCAAUGUAGUUCUCUCCAGUUUCUUUUGAAUCUUAGGAUAAAGGAGGCAUAUAAUUUUGUCUAAUUUUUCUCUUUUAGCUUGGAACCGCUGCAUCAAUAGUCUCCUAAUAGUCUCUAACAAGGUGAUAAUAGGCUUAUCUCGAUCAUUCACUAUAUACUUGUUGAAGGACUCGUAUAUAUUGUUCAAUAACAUGCUGGACUUAAUUUUAGGACUGAAGGUAUGCUUUGACCACAACUCAGGUGGCUGCUGUUUGAACUAUUAUCAUAUAGUCUCACCUACCAAUUG